GAGUUUGAUCGUGGCUCAGAUUGAACGCUGGCGGCAUGCCUUACACAUGCAAGUCGAACGGCAGCAUGAUCUAGCUUGCUAGAUUGAUGGCGAGUGGCGAACGGGUGAGCAAUACAUCGGAACGUGCCCUGUAGUGGGGGAUAACUAGUCGAAAGAUUAGCUAAUACCGCAUACGACCUGAGGGUGAAAGUGGGGGACCGCAAGGCCUCAUGCCAUAGGAGCGGCCGAUGUCUGAUUAGCUAGUUGGUGGGGUAAAGGCCCACCAAGGCGACGAUCAGUAGCUGGUCUGAGAGGACGAUCAGCCACACUGGGACUGAGACACGGCCCAGACUCCUACGGGAGGCAGCAGUGGGGAAUUUUGGACAAUGGCGAAAGCCUGAUCCAGCAAUGCCGCGUGUGUG
Molecule: ribosomal RNA, 401 nt
Filed under: uncultured microorganism
Description: bacterial SSU rRNA
Rfam family: Bacterial small subunit ribosomal RNA
Source: RNAcentral